UUUGCUUUAAAGUUGUUGCGUUUAAAACGCUCGUAGUUGGAUCACGCAACGGUGUACGGUAAUCUAUUCACUAGUUCAGAAUGUUCGCAGUGUGAAUCGAAAGAUUAGACUAGGACUCUGUUCUGUGAUAGAUAUAAAAGCUGACCACCGUUAAUUGCACGUGAGAUGGAUUGUUGACCUUUAGUGAGUCGGUAAUCCUGUCUUGCGGAGUGUGCCUUGAAUAAAACAGAGUGCUUAAAGCAGGUUUACGCCUGAAUGUUAUAGCAUGGAACGAACAAUAGUGAUCACGUACGUGAUUUUUAAUAGCAAUAGGCCUAUGGUUUGUUGCUGUUGGAGUCGCGUACAUCACCCACCAAAAUAUGGCUGUUGGUUCCAUAUACGGUGAUGAUUAAAAGGAGCGGUUGGGGGCAUCGGUAUUUGGCCGCGAGAGGUGAAAUUCUUGGACCGGCCAAGGACUAACAAAUGCAAAGGCACUUGUCUAGACCGUUUCCAUUAAUCAAGAACGAAAGUGGGAGGUUCGAAGACGAUCAGAUACCGUCCUAGUUCCCACUGUAAACUAUGCCGACCUGGGAUCAGUUUAGAGAUGCUACAAGCUCUAAAUUGGUCCCCCUGGGAAACCUCAAGUUUUUCGGUUACGGGGAGAGUAUGGUCGCAAGGCUGAAACUUAAAGGAAUUGACGGAAGGGCACCACCAGGGGUGGAGCCUGCGGCUUAAUUUGAC
RNAcentral lists this ribosomal RNA (720 nucleotides) under Henneguya doneci. Its description in RNAcentral is "SSU rRNA". It matches the Rfam family "Eukaryotic small subunit ribosomal RNA", at positions 598 to 1199 of the family's 1831-position model. Lineage: Eukaryota; Metazoa; Cnidaria; Myxozoa; Bivalvulida; Myxobolidae. The record is from RNAcentral.